CUCUACAAGAAUGCAGUAUUGUUUUUGGUUUGCUGUUUUUCUAGAUAGAGGCAGAUUCAGAAGAAUAUAGUUCAAGAAAAAAAAUUUAAGAACUCAUAAAGGAGAAGGAGGAGGAGGAAGAGAGUGUGAAACAGGAGCCUCAGAUAACUUGGUAAAGGCAUGUCUCCCAUUUGGGAACUGAUGUUCCUAAGAUCCGCACUGACGCUGCUCAGCCGGUCCAUCACACAGCAAAGGCGUGAGGAAGGGUCACUGCCCAGCUGGACUCCAGGGUGGUCCACGCAUGAC
This 285-nucleotide long non-coding RNA is filed under the name Pan troglodytes (chimpanzee). Its description in RNAcentral is "long non-coding RNA NONPTRT017891". The record is from RNAcentral. Lineage: Eukaryota; Metazoa; Chordata; Mammalia; Primates; Hominidae.